Molecule: ribosomal RNA, 305 nt
Filed under: uncultured bacterium
Lineage: Bacteria
Description: bacterial SSU rRNA
Rfam family: Bacterial small subunit ribosomal RNA
Source: RNAcentral
ACCUACGGGAGGCAGCAGUGGGGAAUAUUGCACAAUGGGGGGAACCCUGAUGCAGCGACGCCGCGUGAGUGAAGAAGUAUUUCGGUAUGUAAAGCUCUAUCAGCAGGGAAGAAAAUGACGGUACCUGACUAAGAAGCCCCGGCUAACUACGUGCCAGCAGCCGCGGUAAUACGUAGGGGGCGAGCGUUAUCCGGAUUUACUGGGUGUAAAGGGAGCGUAGACGGCGUCGCAAGUCUGAAGUGAAAGCCCGUGGCUCAACCGCGGAACCGCUUUGGAAACUGCGAGGCUGGAGUGCUGGAGAGGUA